RNAcentral lists this microRNA (22 nucleotides) under Vespertilionid gammaherpesvirus 1. RNAcentral describes it as "BGHV1 miRNA". The record is from RNAcentral. Lineage: Duplodnaviria; Heunggongvirae; Peploviricota; Herviviricetes; Herpesvirales; Orthoherpesviridae.
UCAACGGGGUAUGUCAAGAAGU